Molecule: long non-coding RNA, 970 nt
Organism: Raphanus sativus (radish)
Lineage: Eukaryota; Viridiplantae; Streptophyta; Magnoliopsida; Brassicales; Brassicaceae
Exons: 6
Source: RefSeq, a predicted model, not a curated record
GACAAAAUGAGAUAUUUUGUUAGACUUUCAGACAUAAGAAGAUUCCAAAAAAAAAAAAGACAAACUCCUCUCGGCGAUUGUUCAAACGAAUGGGUUCUUCCUCGAUUCCAAACUGCAUGAUCUCCAGCAUAAACGGAAUAGAUCCGACUAAAUCGUGGACGAUCUAAGACUUUCAAAGGAAGAUCUUGGUUACCUCGUUCGAUUUGACCAAAAACGAUGAAGAUCGACGAACUCCCACAAAAGAUCUUCAUCAGAUCCGUAAGGGAUUGUAUUACCUAUAUUAAUAUUGCUGUGUGAUGAAGACGUGGCUAAGACUAUAUUCUUCACAGGAAUUAUUACAACAUGGACAACACAAUUUGAAAGUUAGUAAAUGGGAGUCCACUAACAUGGAUACAAAGGAUAAAAACUUACCAUUAAGCAAUAAAGUCUGAGAAGCUACAUCUGGAUAUUGCGAAACUGCGCAAAAUCUUUGGGGAGAUAUAUAUGACAUUGGAGACCUCGAGCUAGUAAAACUACUAUGAGACACAACGUACUUUCAGAGAAAAUUCAGAUUCCAAAUACAACAAUCAUAGAGAUGUCAUACUUCAUUGGACAACAACAUGAUCUUAAAGUCAAAGAUAAGUUACUUCCUCCAAAUAUUUUUUCCUUUUACAUUUAUAUGUAAGUGUAAUUUCCAUAUAAAUAUAACAUGAUUAGUUAUAGAUUUAAUCACAUGUGUUUUUUUAGGAGGUUAAAAUUGUAUAAAUUAGAUUGCAAACUGAAACUGGUACUGAUGAUAAAAACAUGAUAUAUUUUUUUGGUUUGUUGAUUGAAGUAUGGUGUUUUUUUAUGUCUACGAUUUUGUUAAAAGGGUUAAUUUUUUCUUUCUUUUCAGGAAUAAUGUACUCUCGGAGAAGAUGUUAUAUUCCAAAUACGUCUAUGGACAACAACAUGAUUUUAAAAUCAAAGAUAAGUUAGUUCCUCCUAAUUU